AAGCUUGAUAUAGAAGACUAUCAUAUGAACCAGAGAGGGUAACUGAAACCAAAGAAAUGACUCCAGUAUCAAGCUAAAGACACGCCUUAAAGGAUGAGGAGGAGCAGAAAUAUUACCAGCAAGGCAAGAAAGAAGCCGUACGUGGACAGCCUCUGCUUUAGGCCCAGAAGGAAAAGAAGCUUACAGGAGACAAUCAGUCUUACACUCUUCAUGGUCACAAACAAGAGGUCCCUGGAUCUACAGGGGACUUGGUGCUGUCAGAGGAGGUCAUCAUAUUGGACAACAAGUUUUUUAAAAAGUAGAAGUCAUCAAGUUGAAGAAUUCAGUGACUUUUCCAGGGGAAGAAGUACCUGAUUUAUGAACAGUCAUUAUCCUGAACUGUUUUGUAGAAAUGAUGUAACCGAUUGAUUUUUAAUAAGCAUUCCAAGUGUUACACAGCAAGUUUUGAUGCUUCCAACUGGCCAAUAAGAAAUGAAAGAACCAGAGCAUUACAGCAGAAUGAAUCCUGGAAUGGGAAUUGUGGCACAGUUGGGAAGCGUCCUGGCCAUGCCAUGUUAAAGUUGCCUCCAAGGCAGUGAUUCUUACGCUUGGCUACACAUUGGAAUCAUUUGGGAAGCUGGAAAAAAAAUAAUAAUAAUGCCCAGGACCUGGGCAAGACGGCUGAAUAAGAACAGCUCUGGUCUGCAGCUCCCAGCA
Nomascus leucogenys (northern white-cheeked gibbon) is the source of this 696-nucleotide long non-coding RNA. RefSeq lists it as uncharacterized. The record is from RefSeq and is a predicted model, not a curated record. Lineage: Eukaryota; Metazoa; Chordata; Mammalia; Primates; Hylobatidae. The transcript is spliced from 5 exons.